Molecule: ribosomal RNA, 213 nt
Filed under: uncultured bacterium
Lineage: Bacteria
Description: partial 16S ribosomal RNA
Rfam family: Bacterial small subunit ribosomal RNA
Source: RNAcentral
CAGUUCAGAUUGCAGGCUGCAACUCGCCUGCAUGAAGUCGGAAUUGCUAGUAAUCGCAGAUCAGCAUGCUGCGGUGAAUACGUUCCCGGGCCUUGUACACACCGCCCGUCACACCAUGGGAGUCGGUAACACCCGAAGUCGGUAGCCUAACCGUAAGGAGGGCGCCGCCGAAGGUGGGGAUUGAUGACUGGGGUGAAGUCGUAACAAGGUAAC